CCUACGGGAGGCAGCAGUGAGGAAUAUUGGUCAAUGGACGAGAGUCUGAACCAGCCAAGUAGCGUGAAGGAUGACUGCCCUAUGGGUUGUAAACUUCUUUUAUAUGGGAAUAAAAUGUUCCACGUGUGGGAUUUUGUAUGUACCAUAUGAAUAAGGAUCGGCUAACUCCGUGCCAGCAGCCGCGGUAAUACGGAGGAUCCGAGCGUUAUCCGGAUUUAUUGGGUUUAAAGGGAGCGUAGGUGGAUUGUUAAGUCAGUUGUGAAAGUUUGCGGCUCAACCGUAAAAUUGCAGUUGAAACUGGCAGUCUUGAGUACAGUAGAGGUGGGCGGAAUUCGUGGUGGAGCGGUGAAAUGCUUAGAUAUCACGAAGAACUCCGAUUGCGAAGGCAGUUCACUGGACUGCAACUGACACUGAGGCUCGAAAGUGUGGGUAUCAAACAGGAUUAGAUACCCGUGUAGUC
This 460-nucleotide ribosomal RNA is filed under the name uncultured bacterium. RNAcentral's name for it is "partial 16S ribosomal RNA". It matches the Rfam family "Bacterial small subunit ribosomal RNA", at positions 338 to 795 of the family's 1533-position model. The record is from RNAcentral.